Molecule: ribosomal RNA, 493 nt
Filed under: uncultured bacterium
Lineage: Bacteria
Description: bacterial SSU rRNA
Rfam family: Bacterial small subunit ribosomal RNA
Source: RNAcentral
ACUGGCUCAGGAUGAACGCUGGCGGCGUGCUUAACACAUGCAAGUCGAACGAAGCCAAAAGGAAGCUUGCUUCUUGAAGCUUAGUGGCGGACGGGUGAGUAACGCGUGAGUAACCUGCCCUUCAGUGGGGAAUAACACAGAGAAAUCUGUGCUAAUACCGCAUAACGUCUUCUUGCCGCAUGACAGGAAGACCAAAGGAUUUAUUCGCUGAAGGAUGGACUCGCGUCCGAUUAGCUAGUUGGUGAGGUAACGGCCCACCAAGGCGACGAUCGGUAGCCGAACUGAGAGGUUGAUCGGCCACAUUGGGACUGAGACACGGCCCAGACUCCUACGGGAGGCAGCAGUGGGGAAUAUUGGGCAAUGGGCCGAAAGCCUGACCCAGCAACGCCGCGUGAAGGAAGACGGUCUUCGGAUUGUAAACUUCUUUGAUUGGGGAAGAAACAAAUGACCUACCCAAAGAACAAGUCACGGCUAACUACGUGCCAGCCGCCGC